CUUUUAAAUCCACCUUGCCAGCACUGGACCAACGUCAGCCAUUCCAUUGGGUCAACACAAUGUAAUUUUGUC
Molecule: non-coding RNA, 72 nt
Organism: Pangasianodon gigas (Mekong giant catfish)
Lineage: Eukaryota; Metazoa; Chordata; Actinopteri; Siluriformes; Pangasiidae
Source: the annotation of a GenBank genome assembly